ACCCCCACCCUCUAUAUAAGUGCAUCCAUCACUCUUCACUACAAACACACAAUCUUGAUCAAUCAAUACAUCUCUCUUCCUCACAAAAAUUCGGAUCAAAUUAAAACCAUGGCGGUAAACCAUAAUCGUAGCUGUUCCUCGUUCUUAAUCUUGCUCUUAAUCGUCGCCUUUUCAUCGAUCAUCGAGGCCCGCGACCUCCUCGAAUCCCCGAUUCCCCUACCGGAGAUCCCAGUGUUGCCAAAGCCCGAGAUUCCAACCAUACCAAAGCCUAUUAUCCCAGAAUUGCCAAAGCCCGUCAUUCCAGAAUUGCCAAAGCCCGAGAUUCCAACUUUGCCAAAACCUGUUAUCCCAGAACUUGCCAAAGCCCGAGAUUCCAACUACACCAAAGCCCGUUACCCCGGAAUUGCCAAAGCCCGAGAUUCCAACUCUGCCAAAGCCCGUCAUCCCAGAAUUGCCAAAGCCCGAGAUUCCAACUUUGCCAAAACCUGUUAUUCCAGAAAUGCCAAAGCUCGAGAUUCCAACUCUACCAAAACCCGAGAUUCCGGUCGUGCCAAAGACAGAGAUGCCAGAAUUGCCCAAGUCCGAGCUUCCGAAGAUUCCCACGUUGCCCGAAAUGCCGAAAUCACCUUGAUUUGCAUGCUAGAAACAAGUUAUUUCGAAUUUGAUGAUGAUUAAUUAUGUUGUUGUGGUGUUUAUUUGUAUCAUGUUUUGUUUGUCGUGAUAUAGAGUAGGGUUUGUUUUCAUUUAUCACAUAUAUAUUAUACGUGAGAGUAUAUUGUAAUUCCAUUUCUACGUACGAUUUGUAUUAAAUUUUGAUUUCGCCUUUAUAUGUUACUACUUGCUUUCAUUACGUUG
RNAcentral lists this long non-coding RNA (855 nucleotides) under Salvia miltiorrhiza (redroot sage). Its description in RNAcentral is "long non-coding RNA (SMIL_LNC000538)". The record is from RNAcentral. Lineage: Eukaryota; Viridiplantae; Streptophyta; Magnoliopsida; Lamiales; Lamiaceae.